UAGAUCCUGAAACCGCAUGCAUACAAGCAGUGGGAGCACCUUCGUGGUGUGACUGCGUACCUUUUGUAUAAUGGGUCAGCGACUUAUAUUCAGUAGCGAGGUUAACCGUAUAGGGGAGCCGUAGAGAAAUCGAGUCUUAAUAGGGCGUUUAGUUGCUGGGUAUAGACCCGAAACCAGGCGAUCUAUCCAUGAGCAGGUUGAAGGUUGGGUAACACUAACUGGAGGACCGAACCCACUGUCGUUGAAAAGCCAGGGGAUGACUUGUGGAUAGGGGUGAAAGGCUAAUCAAGCCUGGUGAUAGCUGGUUCUCCCCGAAAGCUAUUUAGGUAGCGCCUCGGACGAAUACCAUAGGGGGUAGAGCACUGUUUCGGCUAGGGGGUCAUCCCGACUUACCAAACCGAUGCAAACUCCGAAUACCUAUGAGUACUAUCCGGGAGACAGACUGCGGGUGCUAACGUCCGUAGUCAAGAGGAAAACAAUCCAGACCGCCAGCUAAGGCCCCAAAAUCAUAGUUAAGUGGGAAACGAUGUGGGAAGGCAUAGACAGCUAGGAGGUUGGCUUAGAAGCAGCCACCCUUUAAAGAAAGCGUAAUAGCUCACUAGUCGAGUCGGCCUGCGCGGAAGAUGUAACGGGGCUAAAACUAUGUGCCGAAGCUGCGGAUGUAUACUUUGUAUACGUGGUAGGGGAGCGUUCUGUAAGCCGAUGAAGGUGUGUUGAGAAGCAUGCUGGAGGUAUCAGAAGUGCGAAUGCUGACGUGAGUAACGACAAAACGGGUGAAAAACCCGUUCGCCGAAAGACCAAGGGUUCCAGUCCAACGUUAAUCGGGGCUGGGUGAGUCGACCCCUAAGGCGAGGCCGAAAGGCGUAGUCGAUGGGAAAAUGGUUAAUAUUCCAUUACUUCUGUGUAAUGCGAUGAGAGGACGGAGAAGGCUAAAUCAGCCUGGCGUUGGUUGUCCAGGUGAAAGGAUGUAGGCAUGUAUCUUAGGCAAAUCCGGGGUACUCUAUGCUGAGAUCUGAUAGCAAGCUGUACUUGUACAGCGAAGUGGUUGAUGCCAUGCUUCCAGGAAAAGUCUCUAAGCUUCAGUUACACAGGAAUCGUACCCGAAACCGACACAGGUGGUCAGGUCGAGUAGACCAAGGCGCUUGAGAGAACUCUGCUGAAGGAACUAGGCAAAAUGGUACCGUAACUUCGGGAGAAGGUACGCUGUUGUUGGUGAUGGAACUCGCUUCCUGAGCUGACGACAGCCGCAGAAACCAGGCCGCUGCAACUGUUUAUUAAAAACAUAGCACUCUGCAAACACGAAAGUGGACGUAUAGGGUGUGAUGCCUGCCCGGUGCUGGAAGGUUAAUUGAUGGGGUUAGCGUAAGCGAAGCUCUUGAUCGAAGCCCCAGUAAACGGCGGCCGUAACUAUAACGGUCCUAAGGUAGCGAAAUUCCUUGUCGGGUAAGUUCCGACCUGCACGAAUGGCAUAAUGAUGGCGGCGCUGUCUCCAGCAGAGGCUCAGUGAAAUCGAAAUCGCUGUGAAGAUGCAGUGUACCCGCGGCUAGACGGAAAGACCCCGUGAACCUUUACUGCAGCUUGACACUGAACUUUGACCUUACUUGUGUAGGAUAGGUGGGAGGCUUUGAAGCUGGAACGCUAGUUCCAGUGGAGCCGUCCUUGAAAUACCACCCUGGUAAUGUUGAGGUUCUAACUCUGUCCCGUGAUCCGGGACGAGGACCGUGUCUGGUGGGUAGUUUGACUGGGGCGGUCUCCUCCUAAAGAGUAACGGAGGAGUACGAAGGUGCGCUCAGCGUGGUCGGAAAUCACGCGUAGAGUAUAAAGGCAAAAGCGCGCUUAACUGCGAGACCCACAAGUCGAGCAGGUACGAAAGUAGGUCUUAGUGAUCCGGUGGUUCUGUAUGGAAGGGCCAUCGCUCAACGGAUAAAAGGUACUCUGGGGAUAACAGGCUGAUACCGCCCAAGAGUUCAUAUCGACGGCGGUGUUUGGCACCUCGAUGUCGGCUCAUCUCAUCCUGGGGCUGAAGCAGGUCCCAAGGGUAUGGCUGUUCGCCAUUUAAAGAGGUACGCGAGCUGGGUUUAGAACGUCGUGAGACAGUUCGGUCCCUAUCUACCGUGGGCGCUGGAAAUUUGAGAGGAUCUGCUCCUAGUACGAGAGGACCAGAGUGGACGAACCUCUGGUGUACCGGUUGUGACGCCAGUCGCAUCGCCGGGUAGCUAUGUUCGGAAGGGAUAACCGCUGAAAGCAUCUAAGCGGGAAGCCUACCUCAAGAUAAGAUUUCCCUAGGACUUUAUGUCCUCUAAAGAGCCGUUCGAGACUAGGACGUUGAUAGGUUGGAUGUGGAAGCAUAGUGAUAUGUGAAGCUGACCAAUACUAAUUGCUCGUGAGGCUUGACUAU
RNAcentral lists this ribosomal RNA (2398 nucleotides) under Acinetobacter baumannii. RNAcentral's name for it is "partial 23S ribosomal RNA". It matches the Rfam family "Bacterial large subunit ribosomal RNA", at positions 544 to 2925 of the family's 2925-position model. Lineage: Bacteria; Pseudomonadati; Pseudomonadota; Gammaproteobacteria; Moraxellales; Moraxellaceae. The record is from RNAcentral.